UUCAAACAGUCCAGUGGCGGUUCUAGCAGGCGAGGGGGUACGUUAAUCGGACGUGAUAAUAGGCGGCGACUUUAAUGCAGACUGCAACUACCUGCGCCUAAGUGACUGGAAGAAUAUUUCGCUGAAAAGUGACCCCAGAUAUACCUGGCUGAUUGAUGACGAUAUCGACACUACCGUUUCACAGUCAUCAUGCAGCUAUGACAGGUUUGUGAUAGCAGGGAACCUCAUGAAAGAUUCGGUUGUUCCGGGAAGUGUUCAUGCUUUUCGCUUUGAUGAGGAAAUGCAUUUCAACAAAACAAUGGUGAGACACAUUCAUUACCAG
Molecule: long non-coding RNA, 322 nt
Organism: Mya arenaria
Lineage: Eukaryota; Metazoa; Mollusca; Bivalvia; Myida; Myidae
Exons: 3
Source: RefSeq, a predicted model, not a curated record